GUAUUUUCUUUCGAAAGCCCGGCCACGUUGUUAAAAACACCGCAGAGUGUUUCGCAAAUAUAACAUGGACGUUUUGGGGAGGCAUCAGUAAUAAUGUAAACACCAUUAUAAUAUAACCUUUGUCUUUUAUACCGUGACGGCGACCGGAUAAUAAAUCCCCUUGGGAAACUUCAGUAAGUAUAUCAGCCGUGGGUUUACGUGCGUGCACUAAAAAGCU
Molecule: non-coding RNA, 217 nt
Organism: Cinara cedri
Lineage: Eukaryota; Metazoa; Arthropoda; Insecta; Hemiptera; Aphididae
Source: the annotation of a GenBank genome assembly